This 461-nucleotide ribosomal RNA is filed under the name uncultured bacterium. RNAcentral's name for it is "bacterial SSU rRNA". It matches the Rfam family "Bacterial small subunit ribosomal RNA", at positions 28 to 507 of the family's 1533-position model. The record is from RNAcentral.
GACGAACGCUGGCGGCGUGCUUAACACAUGCAAGUCGAACGGGAGUAUUGAAGAAGCUUGCUUUAGAGAUACUUUAGUGGCGGACGGGUGAGUAACGCGUGAGGAGCUGUCCUAUGCAGGGGGACAACAGCUGGAAACGGCUGCUAAUACCCCAUAAGCCGAGAGGUAAAAGGAUCAAUCCGGCAGAGGAGGUACUCGCGUCCUAUCAGCUAGUAGGUGAGGUAACGGCUCACCUAGGCGAAGACGGGUAGCCGGCCUGAGACGGGCGAACGGCCACGACUGGAACUGGAGAUACGGUCCAGACUCCUACGGGAGGCAGCAGUGGGGAAUAUUGGGCAAUGGGGGAAACCCUGACCCAGCGACGCCGCGUGGGUGAAGAAAUCCUUCGGGAUGUAAAGCCCGUGUUGUAUGGGAAGAGGCGGAAGACGGUACCAUACGAGGAAGCCCCGGCAAACUACGUG